UAGAGAUGUGUGAUGACGCAUAUCAAUAAGCGGAGGAAAAGAAACUAACAAGGAUUCCCUUAGUAACGGCGAGUGAAGCGGGAAGAGCUCAAAUUUGAAAUCUUCAAGGUUCUACCUUGACGAAUUGUAGUUUAUAGAAGUGUUUUCUGUUAGUAGAGUGGCAAAAGUUCUUUGGAAUAGGACAUCAUAGAGGGUGAGAAUCCCGUAUUUGGUCAUUCUUUCUAGCUUUGUGAUACACUUUCAACGAGUCGGAUUGUUUGGGAAUGCAGUCCAAAAUGGGUGGUAAAUUUCAUCUAAAGCUAAAUAUUGGCGAGAGACCGAUAGCGAACAAGUACCGUGAGGGAAAGAUGAAAAGAACUUUGAAAAGAGAGUUAAACAGUACGUGAAAUUGUCAAAAGGGAAGCGUUUGACACCAGUGUUGUUUUUCCGAAAAUCAAUUACGAAUGUUUUGUUUUUGAGAAGUUAUGACUUCAUCGGCUUGCUUCUCUCUUUACGAAACUUUCUUAAUGCACUUUUCGGUUAACAAGUCAACAUCAAUUUCUUUUGUUGUAAAAGGGUAUGAGGAAGGUGGCUUUCUUUUCGGAGAAAGUGUUUAUAGCCUUGUGCCUCUGCAAUCGGAGAGAUUGAGGUCUGCAGCGUAGAUCCUUCGGGGUUAGAUACAUUUGUGCUAAGUUAUAGCUUUUCAUAGACAACUUGUUGACUAUGUUUAGUCUUGUAGCUUACUCGCUUAUGCUAUUUUACCUACGCUUAGGAUGUUGAUCUGUAGUGCGUGCGC
RNAcentral lists this ribosomal RNA (775 nucleotides) under uncultured Neocallimastigales. Its description in RNAcentral is "partial large subunit ribosomal RNA". It matches the Rfam family "Eukaryotic large subunit ribosomal RNA", at positions 23 to 647 of the family's 3401-position model. Lineage: Eukaryota; Fungi; Neocallimastigomycota; Neocallimastigomycetes; Neocallimastigales. The record is from RNAcentral.